RNAcentral lists this ribosomal RNA (2902 nucleotides) under Escherichia coli. RNAcentral's name for it is "23S ribosomal RNA". It matches the Rfam family "Bacterial large subunit ribosomal RNA". The record is from RNAcentral. Lineage: Bacteria; Pseudomonadati; Pseudomonadota; Gammaproteobacteria; Enterobacterales; Enterobacteriaceae.
GGUUAAGCGACUAAGCGUACACGGUGGAUGCCCUGGCAGUCAGAGGCGAUGAAGGACGUGCUAAUCUGCGAUAAGCGUCGGUAAGGUGAUAUGAACCGUUAUAACCGGCGAUUUCCGAAUGGGGAAACCCAGUGUGUUUCGACACACUAUCAUUAACUGAAUCCAUAGGUUAAUGAGGCGAACCGGGGGAACUGAAACAUCUAAGUACCCCGAGGAAAAGAAAUCAACCGAGAUUCCCCCAGUAGCGGCGAGCGAACGGGGAGCAGCCCAGAGCCUGAAUCAGUGUGUGUGUUAGUGGAAGCGUCUGGAAAGGCGUGCGAUACAGGGUGACAGCCCCGUACACAAAAAUGCACAUGCUGUGAGCUCGAUGAGUAGGGCGGGACACGUGGUAUCCUGUCUGAAUAUGGGGGGACCAUCCUCCAAGGCUAAAUACUCCUGACUGACCGAUAGUGAACCAGUACCGUGAGGGAAAGGCGAAAAGAACCCCGGCGAGGGGAGUGAAAAAGAACCUGAAACCGUGUACGUACAAGCAGUGGGAGCCUCUUUAUGGGGUGACUGCGUACCUUUUGUAUAAUGGGUCAGCGACUUAUAUUCUGUAGCAAGGUUAACCGAAUAGGGGAGCCGAAGGGAAACCGAGUCUUAACUGGGCGUUAAGUUGCAGGGUAUAGACCCGAAACCCGGUGAUCUAGCCAUGGGCAGGUUGAAGGUUGGGUAACACUAACUGGAGGACCGAACCGACUAAUGUUGAAAAAUUAGCGGAUGACUUGUGGCUGGGGGUGAAAGGCCAAUCAAACCGGGAGAUAGCUGGUUCUCCCCGAAAGCUAUUUAGGUAGCGCCUCGUGAAUUCAUCUCCGGGGGUAGAGCACUGUUUCGGCAAGGGGGUCAUCCCGACUUACCAACCCGAUGCAAACUGCGAAUACCGGAGAAUGUUAUCACGGGAGACACACGGCGGGUGCUAACGUCCGUCGUGAAGAGGGAAACAACCCAGACCGCCAGCUAAGGUCCCAAAGUCAUGGUUAAGUGGGAAACGAUGUGGGAAGGCCCAGACAGCCAGGAUGUUGGCUUAGAAGCAGCCAUCAUUUAAAGAAAGCGUAAUAGCUCACUGGUCGAGUCGGCCUGCGCGGAAGAUGUAACGGGGCUAAACCAUGCACCGAAGCUGCGGCAGCGACACUAUGUGUUGUUGGGUAGGGGAGCGUUCUGUAAGCCUGUGAAGGUGUGCUGUGAGGCAUGCUGGAGGUAUCAGAAGUGCGAAUGCUGACAUAAGUAACGAUAAAGCGGGUGAAAAGCCCGCUCGCCGGAAGACCAAGGGUUCCUGUCCAACGUUAAUCGGGGCAGGGUGAGUCGACCCCUAAGGCGAGGCCGAAAGGCGUAGUCGAUGGGAAACAGGUUAAUAUUCCUGUACUUGGUGUUACUGCGAAGGGGGGACGGAGAAGGCUAUGUUGGCCGGGCGACGGUUGUCCCGGUUUAAGCGUGUAGGCUGGUUUUCCAGGCAAAUCCGGAAAAUCAAGGCUGAGGCGUGAUGACGAGGCACUACGGUGCUGAAGCAACAAAUGCCCUGCUUCCAGGAAAAGCCUCUAAGCAUCAGGUAACAUCAAAUCGUACCCCAAACCGACACAGGUGGUCAGGUAGAGAAUACCAAGGCGCUUGAGAGAACUCGGGUGAAGGAACUAGGCAAAAUGGUGCCGUAACUUCGGGAGAAGGCACGCUGAUAUGUAGGUGAAGCGACUUGCUCGUGGAGCUGAAAUCAGUCGAAGAUACCAGCUGGCUGCAACUGUUUAUUAAAAACACAGCACUGUGCAAACACGAAAGUGGACGUAUACGGUGUGACGCCUGCCCGGUGCCGGAAGGUUAAUUGAUGGGGUCAGCGCAAGCGAAGCUCUUGAUCGAAGCCCCGGUAAACGGCGGCCGUAACUAUAACGGUCCUAAGGUAGCGAAAUUCCUUGUCGGGUAAGUUCCGACCUGCACGAAUGGCGUAAUGAUGGCCAGGCUGUCUCCACCCGAGACUCAGUGAAAUUGAACUCGCUGUGAAGAUGCAGUGUACCCGCGGCAAGACGGAAAGACCCCGUGAACCUUUACUAUAGCUUGACACUGAACAUUGAGCCUUGAUGUGUAGGAUAGGUGGGAGGCUUUGAAGUGUGGACGCCAGUCUGCAUGGAGCCGACCUUGAAAUACCACCCUUUAAUGUUUGAUGUUCUAACGUGGACCCGUUAUCCGGGUUGCGGACAGUGUCUGGUGGGUAGUUUGACUGGGGCGGUCUCCUCCUAAAGAGUAACGGAGGAGCACGAAGGUUGGCUAAUCCUGGUCGGACAUCAGGAGGUUAGUGCAAUGGCAUAAGCCAGCUUGACUGCGAGCGUGACGGCGCGAGCAGGUGCGAAAGCAGGUCAUAGUGAUCCGGUGGUUCUGAAUGGAAGGGCCAUCGCUCAACGGAUAAAAGGUACUCCGGGGAUAACAGGCUGAUACCGCCCAAGAGUUCAUAUCGACGGCGGUGUUUGGCACCUCGAUGUCGGCUCAUCACAUCCUGGGGCUGAAGUAGGUCCCAAGGGUAUGGCUGUUCGCCAUUUAAAGUGGUACGCGAGCUGGGUUUAGAACGUCGUGAGACAGUUCGGUCCCUAUCUGCCGUGGGCGCUGGAGAACUGAGGGGGGCUGCUCCUAGUACGAGAGGACCGGAGUGGACGCAUCACUGGUGUUCGGGUUGUCAUGCCAAUGGCACUGCCCGGUAGCUAAAUGCGGAAGAGAUAAGUGCUGAAAGCAUCUAAGCACGAAACUUGCCCCGAGAUGAGUUCUCCCUGAGACUUUAAGUCUCCUGAAGGAACGUUGAAGACGACGACGUUGAUAGGCCGGGUGUGUAAGCGCAGCGAUGCGUUGAGCUAACCGGUACUAAUGAACCGUGAGGCUUAACCUU